RNAcentral lists this ribosomal RNA (409 nucleotides) under uncultured bacterium. RNAcentral describes it as "partial 16S ribosomal RNA". It matches the Rfam family "Bacterial small subunit ribosomal RNA", at positions 338 to 746 of the family's 1533-position model. The record is from RNAcentral.
CCUACGGGAGGCAGCAGUGGGGAAUUUUGCGCAAUGGGCGAAAGCCUGACGCAGCGACGCCGCGUGGAGGAAGAAGGCCUUCUGGACGUAAACUCCUUUUAGAGGGGACGAAAAGCCCGAUUUGUCGGGAAUUGACGGUACCCUCAGAAAAAGCACCGGCUAACUACGUGCCAGCAGCCGCGGUAAUACGUAGGGUGCAAGCGUUGUCCGGAUUCACUGGGUGUAAAGGGUGCGCAGGCGGCUUUGUAAGACGGAUGUGAAAUCCCUGGGCUUAACCGAGGAACUGCGUUCGUGACUGCAAAGCUAGAGUGCGGCAGAGGGGGGUGGAAUUCCGGGUGUAGAAGUGAAAUGCGUAGAGAUCAGGAGGACCACCGAUGGCGAAGGCAGCCCCCGGGGUUGGCACUGACGC